UUGAACUUCUACUAUGUGUCAGGCAUUGGGGAGUAUUAAAAUGAGAUAAUCUCUUAAGAGGCUUAGCCUACUAGAAUUGGAAAUUGUACCAAUGGAGACAGUCUAGUUGAGACUGAAUUUAGCUGUUUGCAUAGGAGCCAUCUUAUGUGCUUGUGUGUGUGUGCAGUGUGAAAUAUGACUGAGGAUGUAUAUAUUUAGCAUGGUGGGAUUUUUAUUCCCUACAGAGAUGUAAUAUUAAACCAAGGAUGCAUCUUCCAAAUGAUGGAAUCUUGAGCUGAAAGAAGUAUGAUGAACAGAAAGUUAAUGAACCAUCUGAGUCAGCUUGGGGGCAAAAGGUCAACCAGGGCUUUCCAGAGGGUUGACCCUUGAACUAAAACUUGAACAAAGCAGCCAACCUAUAGUGGGACAGGGAAAGGAGAUAGAAGGUGGUCCACAAUGAGCAGUCAAUAAGCUUCCUAGAGCACAGAGAUGAAGAAUAUGGGUUUUGAAGUUAGAUAGACAUGAUUUUGAAAAUUCUGGGCAAGUGGCUUAACCUCUUUGAACCUCACUUACUUCACUUGUGAGACAGUAAUUUAUAUACCCCAUCCUUACAUCCUGUAAGGAUGACAGGAGAUGUUUGUGUAGCUCCUAGGGAGCAGCCAGUGAGCAUAACUCUUUUUCUAAUUAUCCUCAUAACCCAAGUGAUGUAUAUAGUGUGGAGCAGAGGGUAAAGCAGGGGAUGAUGGUAGACAUAUGAGAGGGUGCAGAGACAGAGGAUAUAUGUGCUGAGUUGCAUGCUAAGGAAGUUAGAUGUUAUCUCUAAGAUAAUGAUUAGCGAAGGAAGGGUCUUAAGUGAGGAGUACAAUU
Long non-coding RNA from Phyllostomus discolor (pale spear-nosed bat), 846 nucleotides. RefSeq lists it as uncharacterized. The record is from RefSeq and is a predicted model, not a curated record. The transcript has 2 exons. NCBI's taxonomy places the organism in Eukaryota, Metazoa, Chordata, Mammalia, Chiroptera, Phyllostomidae.